This 387-nucleotide ribosomal RNA is filed under the name uncultured eukaryote. RNAcentral describes it as "partial 18S ribosomal RNA". It matches the Rfam family "Eukaryotic small subunit ribosomal RNA", at positions 592 to 976 of the family's 1831-position model. The record is from RNAcentral.
CAGUAGCGUAUACUAACGUUGUUGCAGUUAAAAAGCUCGUAGUUGGAUUUCUGGCUUGACGUCGCGUCUCGGCUUCUCGAAAGUUUGAUGACAGCGAAACGUCGAGUCAUCCUGUCACAAACUCUUUCUGGCUUUAGUUAGUCGGACUGAGGGAGUGGCUCGUUUACUUUGAGAAAAUUAGAGUGUUCAAAGCAGGCAUCUUUGCCAUGAAUACGUUAGCAUGGAAUAAUAAGAUAGGACUCUGAUUCUAUUUUGUUGGUUGUUGAGUCGGAGUAAUGAUUGAUAGGGACAGUUGGGGCCAUUCGUAUUCAAAAGCGAGAGGUGAAAUUCUUGGACCUUUUGAAGACGAACAGCUGCGAAAGCGUUUGGCAAGGAUGUUCCCUUUAA